UGGAAGUAAAAAGUCGUAACAAGGUCUCCGUUGGUGAACCAGCGGAGGGAUCAUUACUGAGUUACCGCUCUAUAACCCUUUGUGAACAUACCUAUACGUUGCUUCGGCGGCCGUCCCCCGGGGCGUCCGCCGGAGGAUAACCAAACUCUGAUUUAACGACGUUUCUUCUGAGUGGCACAAGCAAAUAAUCAAAACUUUUAACAACGGAUCUCUUGGUUCUGGCAUCGAUGAAGAACGCAGCGAAAUGCGAUAAGUAAUGUGAAUUGCAGAAUUCAGUGAAUCAUCGAAUCUUUGAACGCACAUUGCGCCCGCCAGCAUUCUGGCGGGCAUGCCUGUUCGAGCGUCAUUUCAACCCUCAAGCACUGCUUGGUGUUGGGGCUCUACGGUUGACGUAGGCCCCCAAAACUAGUGGCGGACCCUCUCGGAGCCUCCUUUGCGUAGUAACUUUUGUCUCGCACUGGGAUUCGGAGGGACUCUAGCCGUUAAACCCCCCAAUUUUUUAAAGGUUG
This 509-nucleotide ribosomal RNA is filed under the name fungal sp. GZ-2010a. Its description in RNAcentral is "eukaryotic LSU rRNA". The stretch from base 193 to 346 matches the Rfam family "5.8S ribosomal RNA". The record is from RNAcentral. Lineage: Eukaryota; Fungi.